GAUGAAGAACGCAGCGAAAUGCGAUAAGUAGUGUGAAUUGCAGAAUUCAGUGAAUCAUCGAAUCUUUGAACGCACAUUGCGCCUCCUGGUAUUCCGGGAGGCAUGCCUGUUCGAGCGUCAUUAAAAUCACUCAAGCUUAGGUUUACCUAUUGCUUGGUCUUGGAGAUGGAAGCCAAUUUAUUGGAAUCCUCUUCGAAAUUCAAUGGCGAAGACCCUUGCUCUCCCAAGUGUAGUAAUAACUUAUGUCACUGAAGGAAGCGAGAAAUCUUCUGCCGUAACCCCUAUAUUUUCUAUGAUUGACCUCGGAUCAGGUAGGGAUACCCGCUGAACUUAAGCAUAUCAAUAAGCGGAGGA
RNAcentral lists this unclassified non-coding RNA (354 nucleotides) under soil metagenome. RNAcentral describes it as "partial contains 5.8S ribosomal RNA, internal transcribed spacer 2, and large subunit ribosomal RNA". The stretch from base 1 to 120 matches the Rfam family "5.8S ribosomal RNA", at positions 35 to 154 of the family's 154-position model. The record is from RNAcentral.